This 382-nucleotide ribosomal RNA is filed under the name uncultured bacterium. Its description in RNAcentral is "bacterial SSU rRNA". It matches the Rfam family "Bacterial small subunit ribosomal RNA", at positions 28 to 402 of the family's 1533-position model. The record is from RNAcentral.
GACGAACGCUGGCGGCGCACAUAAGACAUGCAAGUCGAACGGACUUAACUCAUUCUUUCGAUUGAGAGCGGUUAGUGGCGGACUGGUGAGUAACACGUAAGCAACCUGCCUAUUAGAGGGGAAUAACAGUGAGAAAUCAUUGCUAAUACCGCAUAUGCUCACAGUACCACAUGGUACAGUGAGGAAAGGAGCAAUCCGCUAAUAGAUGGGCUUGCGUCUGAUUAGCUAGUUGGUGGGUAAUGGCCUACCAAGGCGACGAUCAGUAGCCGGACUGAGAGGUUGAACGGCCACAUUGGGACUGAGAUACGGCCCAGACUCCUACGGGAGCAGCAGUCGGGAAUAUUGCGCAAUGGAGGAAACUCUGACGGCAGUGACGCCGCGU